RNAcentral lists this ribosomal RNA (519 nucleotides) under uncultured Glomus. RNAcentral describes it as "SSU rRNA". It matches the Rfam family "Eukaryotic small subunit ribosomal RNA", at positions 569 to 1092 of the family's 1831-position model. The record is from RNAcentral. Lineage: Eukaryota; Fungi; Glomeromycota; Glomeromycetes; Glomerales; Glomeraceae.
CGCAGCCGCGGUAAUUCCAGCUCCAAUAGCGUAUAUUAAAGUUGUUGCAGUUAAAAAGCUCGUAGUUGAAUUUCGGGGUUAGUAGGUUGGUCAUGCCUCCGGUAUGUACUGGUCUCACUGAUUCCUCCUUCCUGAUGAACCGUAAUGCCAUUAAUUUGGUGUUGCGGGGAAUUUGGACUGUUACUUUGAAAAAUUAGAGUGUUUGAAGCAAGCUAACGCUUGAAUACAUUAGCAUGGAAUAAUGAAAUAGGACGUUCGAUCUUAUUUUGUUGGUUUCUAGGAUUGACGUAAUGAUUAAUAGGGAUAGUUGGGGGCAUUAGUAUUCAAUUGUCAGAGGUGAAAUUCUUGGAUUUAUUGAAGACUAACUACUGCGAAAGCAUUUGCCAAGGAUGUUUUCAUUAAUCAAGAACGAAAGUUAGGGGAUCGAAGACGAUCAGAUACCGUCGUAGUCUUAACCAUAAACUAUGCCGACUAGGGAUCGGAUGAUGUAAUUUUUAAUGACUCAUUCGGCGCCUUACG